AGGACCGGGCACAGCACCGUGACUCAAGGGCUGGCCCGAGGCCUGGCAGCAGGCACGCUCCUGCCUGCCCCUGCCCGUGGUGCGGCUCAGCGGGCAGGGACGGGAGCACCCUGCACCGCACCGGGUCUCAAAACACUUCCCUCCUGCAUUGCCCCACUGCAAAUGGACCUGCAACUUGGCCAGUCCCUUCACAAUCCCAGCCCGUGGUGUCCCCAGAGCCGGGGCCAUGCCUGACCCCAACCUUGCUGCAGCAGCCUGGAGCCCGGCGCGUCACUGCUCUCAGCACGGAGAUGGAGGCCCGUGCAGGUAUUGAUCCGGGAAGAGGGAGGCGGGAUGCUCCGGAUUCCACUCGAGGUGCCUGUCCUGUCACCAGCUGCACCAGCACAGCCAGGACAGAUGUUCCCUGCAAGCACAACAUUUCCAUUAAGAAAUCACGGGCACAAGUUCACUCACCUGCCCACAGCUGCCUUCCCUGCACCUCGAGCCUUCACAGGUACUGGGAAAAGGACAGACCAAGGGACCCAUCCAGCUUGGGGCAAAGGCCAAGGAUCGAACUGGAUUCCCGCGAAACGGGUCAAGCCAUGGCUGAAUAAAGACAACAAAGAUUCAACGGAUGCAGAUGGACAGGAGGGAGAGAAGUUGUGAGGACUGUUUCAGAUGUAAACCGUGGAUCCUAAUUCAGUGUUAUAGAUGCUCACAGACCUGGUGGUCUAGAAGCCUGUUAGCAAGCAGGUGGUGUACCUUCUGUGGAGAAUGGCAAUUUGAGCAAACAUCAGGAGAGCCAAAAGGGUGAUAUUACACUGAGACAGUCAAUGCAAAAAUGAGGUAAAAUUAUGGGACGUUCCUACCAUAGUAUGUACUGCACUCCUUCUCCCUUGUGUAGCAGCUGGUCAGGCUUUAGGAGACAUAUCAAAGUUAAGCUAUUGGUCUUUUAAACAGGCUAAUGUAACUUCUGAGAUGCUAACUCAGUUAAUAGUAGCAGUUGAUGCUAUUAGGCUUACUACUCUACAAAAUCACGCAGUUAUAGAUCUCUUACUUUUAACACUAGGUCAUGGUUGUGAAGAAUUUGAGAGAAUGUGUUGUAUUCACUUGUCUGAUCCUUCGGAAUCUAUUCAUAGUAUUUUAGACAAACUAAACCAGCACAUUACUAAGAUUGUCAUAGUAGAAGUAGGGUUUGACAAAGGGUUUAAAAGCCUGGGAAUAGGUGGGUAGUUGUUUGAUCUUAUUAGGUAAGGCUCAACUGCAUUAUAUGUAAUUGUAAUUAUGUUGUUAAUGAUGUGAUUGUAUGUUGCAGUGUAUUUCAAAGAUGAUUCAGCGUGUUGUAAACAAGGCCUGGCUGGUUCAAGAACAAAAAGGGGGAGCUGUGGGAGAUUUGAGGGAUUUUCUUGAAGUGGGUUUCUAUUAGAUGGAGAUUUGUUAUUAAACUAGUCAAGCGCAAAAGAAUUUCAAGGCCACCUUGGAAAGCUGAAAACACGAUGUGAAUCAACAGACCUAUUAGCAGUGAGACUCGGGCGCGUGGACAGCUCGGGAACACGGACAAUAUCCAAUCAGCUAAUGCACGCGUGGAGCGUGGACGUGUGAUCAGGAAAGAACUGCAUAUAUAAGGAGGCUUGUUUCUGUAAUAAAUGGCUUCGCUUCAAUUCA
Molecule: long non-coding RNA, 1644 nt
Organism: Columba livia (rock pigeon)
Lineage: Eukaryota; Metazoa; Chordata; Aves; Columbiformes; Columbidae
Exons: 2
Source: RefSeq, a predicted model, not a curated record